This 88-nucleotide transfer RNA is filed under the name Gammaproteobacteria bacterium. RNAcentral describes it as "tRNA-Ser". It matches the Rfam family "tRNA". Rfam says of the family: Transfer RNA (tRNA) molecules are approximately 80 nucleotides in length. Their secondary structure includes four short double-helical elements and three loops (D, anti-codon, and T loops). Lineage: Bacteria; Pseudomonadati; Pseudomonadota; Gammaproteobacteria. The record is from RNAcentral.
GGAGGGUUGGCGGAGAGGCCGAACGCACUCGACUUGAAAUCGAGACUAGUGAGAGCUAGCGAGGGUUCGAAUCCCUCACCCUCCUCCA